Molecule: ribosomal RNA, 468 nt
Filed under: uncultured bacterium
Lineage: Bacteria
Description: partial 16S ribosomal RNA
Rfam family: Bacterial small subunit ribosomal RNA
Source: RNAcentral
GACGAACGCUGGCGGCGUGCUUAACACAUGCAAGUCGAACGGAAAGGCCCUGCUUUUGUGGGGUGCUCGAGUGGCGAACGGGUGAGUAACACGUGAGUAACCUGCCCUUGACUUUGGGAUAACUUCAGGAAACUGGGGCUAAUACCGGAUAUGAGCUCCUGCUGCAUGGUUGGGGUUGGAAAGUUUCGGCGGUUGGGGAUGGACUCGCGGCUUAUCAGCUUGUUGGUGGGGUAGUGGCUUACCAAGGCUUUGACGGGUAGCCGGCCUGAGAGGGUGACCGGCCACAUUGGGACUGAGAUACGGCCCAGACUCCUACGGGAGGCAGCAGUGGGGAAUAUUGCACAAUGGGCGGAAGCCUGAUGCAGCAACGCCGCGUGCGGGAUGACGGCCUUCGGGUUGUAAACCGCUUUCGCCUGUGACGAAGCGUGAGUGACGGUAAUGGGUAAAGAAGCACCGGCUAACUACGUG